RNAcentral lists this unclassified non-coding RNA (3181 nucleotides) under Eurytemora carolleeae. Its description in RNAcentral is "uncharacterized LOC111704906". Lineage: Eukaryota; Metazoa; Arthropoda; Copepoda; Calanoida; Temoridae. The record is from RNAcentral.
AGAUGAGUAUAUCUGGGCUAGGUCCUAGUACCCUGGAGAACCAAUGUAUAACUAGAUAUCUCUACUAUCUAGAAUCAGUCUGUGCCACAUAUAUUCAUCUCACCACAAAAGAUGAGUCUGGACUAUUUAAAGCUCUAGCCGAAAAGCUGCUUCCAAUGCUUAAAGAGCAGCUCGGGAGCAGCAUGAGUGGAACUGUCAGCUCUAUCUUCAGACAAGAGAUGCUUCGAAGAAUUUUCUCCGGUGAGUUCCCUAGCUCCAGGUAUAGAUUAGAGUACACGGAGCUCAAUACAGAAUACGAGAAUAUUAUUCAACCGCUCACAGAGGGCCGAGAUAUUCUGAGGCAAAUGAAAAAACAUGGGGAGAAAUGUUGUAGUCCCUGCUGUACUGGAGUUUAUAUAGUUGAGACAAUGGCGUGCGUGGUUAUGAACGAUGAAAUCCAAGAGUUAAAGAUAGAUUCUAAUAUACAGAAUAAAAUAGUUAGUAAACAGAGACCAGUCAGGAAUUAUAUUGGAUUCGACAUUCCCUCAAUACUUUCACAUUAUCAGGCAUCCGUAAAACAGAGUCCCAGGCGACAUAACAUUCCACUGGAGAGAUUUAUUAUUCACAAUACAGAAUUACAUUCCCACGAGUUCUCCUCUAUGCAUAUUCGAUCGGAGCUCAUUCUUGGUGUUUAUCAGGAAACACAAGAUUAUCUAGAUUAUCCCACUAUCCUCUCAGCGUCAGCGGACCCUGGUGAAUCUGUAUCGACUAGACCAUACUCGGAGGACCUCUACCUCAACAUUGCACAUUUAUUUAGUGCAGAGACUGGUGCCAGAUUUCCCCGUCUUACAGAGAUCACAUUUGGAUCAGAGCUGGGUGUAAAACUCUCAAACCUACGAGACAGAUAUGGAGAGUUGGUGAUAGUUAAACUUUUUCAAGGAAUUGGACACUUUGUACCAAACCUGAAAAUAUUUGAUGUUAGUGCAUCUCUAAGUGUGCCGACUGAAGCAUUUAUUCAUCUAUUUCUUCGCGAUGCCAACAACACUCUCCAUCGGUACAUGUAUCUUCCGCCUUAUCAGAAAGUUGGUGAUAUUGUCUGCUACAAGUAUGAUAGUGCACCUGAGGAGUUUUAUAAACAUAGGACUGAUCAAUACUGUCCAUGGUGUCGCGAUGAAUGGGGACAAAAUAGUCUGAGACCGGGUUGCGUUUUUUUAGCGAAUCCUAUACCUAUUGUUGAUGAUAGGCUUUACCAAGAUAUAGAAACUAAAUACCCAGAACUAGGCCCAAUGUAUCUUGCGAAUGUUGUUCGAGCAAGUGAUUUCUGCAAAUCAAUUCAUGAACCAAAUCUAGUACUCCGGCGUCCCCCAGGGCCCAAACCUUGGCAGUCUGGUUUUGUUCUUCCGGAGGGCAUGCCUGAACCUAUUGUUGAGGAAAGGCUUCCCCCUAAUAGAGAGCUACGUUUUUAUCCCCUGAAGGAAGGAGAGAAGGUUGAAUAUAUUCCAGAUCUAGAAGAUGGCCGAACAAGGAAUAUUUUGUGCGCGUCCCUCCAGGUUCUAAAUAUUGGACAGAUGGGGCCGAGGCAUGAAAUCCUUCCUUUCCUUCUCCUGGCUCUACCACAGAUCAAGAGUCUGGGAUCUAUGGAUGUGUUACGAGGAUUGAAGUUUAUGAAAGACAAUCCAAACAUUCAAUCAGAUUUCAAAUCAGGUUUAGAGGAGGUAUCUAUAGACGUGGUUACCAAACACUAUAGUCACGAUUGGUUAACCGCUACACGAUGGGCCCCGGACCCAAUAAAAAAAGAUGUUGAAGAAUUUUACAAACUUCAGGAUAAUUCAAAUCUAUCAAUUGAAGAGAAAAGAUCUGAAAUUCGAGAUGAUGUUCAACUGCUUUGCAAAGCUUGCCCCAACAUAUCCAAAAUCAGGCUAUUUCUUUAUGCUGAGGAUUUCCCGAAUCUAUUAAAGCCUGAAUAUACCUGUAUCUGGGAGGGGCUUAGUACCCUGACCAGGUUAACAGAGGUCACCAUACUUUGCAUUGACUGGGAGCACACUACUGCACUUCUAACGGUGGUGGGAAGUAAGUUGACGCGUGUUUGUGUAUCUGUGUGCCCGGGUAGAACUGCUCUGGACGAUACUUCUCCCCUUGGUCCUUCUCUAGACAGAAUACUCUCACUCUGCACCAACCUACAGUCUUUAAAGGUUGAUGUAAGCGGGGCCCCUCUCAACAUCUCCCAAGGAUUCCUGACACCUAAACUUGAUCUACUUAAACUCAAGACUGUAUCUGUGGGUAAUUAUCUAACGAAGGAAGCAUUUGAAUGGUUGUGGGAAUCAGCUGUGAAUCUGGAGGAAAUAUUGAUCCCUACAAUAUGUACAACUAACAUCAUACAAAUCUUUAAUCCUCAUACAUACCAGGUUUACUUUACCAAGCAGAUGUUUGAACAACUCCUCAAGAAGAACAGAAUGAAGAAAAUGGUCAAAAUGAAGGCAUUUUUAUGUAUAGCUGAUAUGCAAGCAGCUGAGUAUUUGGUUGAUACACUCAGUGAGACUUGUCCUCACCUGGAGGAAAUUGGGAAACUAACAAUAAGGGUUAAACUGGAAGAAGAACAUUACCCUGAACAUGACGAUCUACUAACAGCGCUGGCUGAGGUUAUGCGGCAAAUAAGCAGGUUCAGGCAGAAAAGUCAAACUCUGUAUAGAUCCAGUAGGAAACUCAUGGUGAACUAUGUUUGGGAGAAAACUGGAUUGUUUAAUUCAUUUGGAGAAAUAGAUCCGUUAAACGCUCUUAUUGAUCCUCCAGUGCAACCAUAGAAACAGAAAACAGAAAACAGAAAACAGAAAACGGAAAACAGAAAACGGAAACCAGAAAACAGAAAACAGAAAACAGAAAACAGAAAACAGAAGACAGCAGACAACAGGAAUUUGGGGGCCGCUAAUAGAGAACGAGAGAGAACAAACCAUAACCAUAAAACCAAGAUAACACAGACAAAAGGAAAUAAAAGACAGGGCAUAUAAGAAGAUAAAACUGAAAAUUUAAGAAUUCCAAUCAGACAACAUAGUUUUUCUAAUAAAAUUUCAUCUUAGUCAACUCCAACAUAAAAAAUUUGCAGAUCGUCAAAUUCAACAACUUUUCCCGAUACAAUUUUUCAAUUUUAACCAGCCAGUGGCCGAAUUUAAAGAAUUUUUGCGGCAGUUUAAAUUUAAGCCGUGGC